RNAcentral lists this ribosomal RNA (492 nucleotides) under uncultured bacterium. RNAcentral's name for it is "partial 16S ribosomal RNA". It matches the Rfam family "Bacterial small subunit ribosomal RNA", at positions 29 to 507 of the family's 1533-position model. The record is from RNAcentral.
AGUGAACGCUGGCGGUAGGCCUAACACAUGCAAGUCGAACGGCAGCACAGUAAGAGCUUGCUCUUACGGGUGGCGAGUGGCGGACGGGUGAGGAAUACAUCGGAAUCUACUUUUUCGUGGGGGAUAACGUAGGGAAACUUACGCUAAUACCGCAUCCGACCUACGGGUGAAAGCAGGGGAUCUUCGGACCUUGCGCGAUUGAAUGAGCCGAUGUCGGAUUAGCUAGUUGGCGGGGUAAAGGCCCACCAAGGCGACGAUCCGUAGCUGGUCUGAGAGGAUGGUCAGCCGCACUGGAACUGGGACAGGCUCCAGACUACUACGGGACGGCGCAGUGGGGAAUAUUGGACAAUGGGCGCAAGCCUGAUCCAGCCAUACCGCGUGGGUGAAGAAGGCCUUCGGGUUGUAAAGCCCUUUUGUUGGGAAAGAAAAGCAGCAGGUUAAUACCCCGCUGUUCUGACGGUACCCAAAGAAUAAGCACCGGCUAACUUCGUG